RNAcentral lists this ribosomal RNA (253 nucleotides) under uncultured bacterium. RNAcentral describes it as "partial 16S ribosomal RNA". It matches the Rfam family "Bacterial small subunit ribosomal RNA", at positions 524 to 776 of the family's 1533-position model. The record is from RNAcentral.
UACGAAGGGAGCUAGCGUUGUUCGGAAUCACUGGGCGUAAAGCGCACGUAGGCGGAUGUGUCAGUCAGGGGUGAAAUCCUGGAGCUCAACUCCAGAACUGCCUUUGAUACUGGGGAUCUCGAGUCCGGGAGAGGUGAGUGGAACUCCGAGUGUAGAGGUGAAAUUCGUAGAUAUUCGGAAGAACACCAGUGGCGAAGGCGGCUCACUGGCCCGGUACUGACGCUGAGGUGCGAAAGCGUGGGGAGCAAACAGG